Molecule: unclassified non-coding RNA, 369 nt
Filed under: soil metagenome
Description: partial contains 5.8S ribosomal RNA, internal transcribed spacer 2, and large subunit ribosomal RNA
Rfam family: 5.8S ribosomal RNA (bases 1-120)
Source: RNAcentral
GAUGAAGAACGUAGCGAAAUGCGAUAAGCAAUAUGAAUUGCAGAUUUUCGUGAAUCAUCGAAUCUUUGAACGCACAUUGCGCCCUUUGGUAUUCCAAAGGGCAUGCCUGUUUGAGCGUCAUUUCUCUCUCAAAUCUUCGGAUUUGGUUUUGAGUGAUACUCUUAGUCAGACUAGGCGUUUGCUUGAAAUGUAUUGGCAUGAGUGGUACUAGAUAGUGCUAAACUGUUUCAAUGUAUUAGGUUUAUCCAACUCGUUGACCAGUGAAGUAUUUGUUUAUUACACAGGCUCGGCCUUACAACAACAAACAAAGUUUGACCUCAAAUCAGGUAGGACUACCCGCUGAACUUAAGCAUAUCAAUAAGCGGAGGA